This is a long non-coding RNA of Esox lucius (northern pike), 1115 nucleotides long. RefSeq lists it as uncharacterized. NCBI's taxonomy places the organism in Eukaryota, Metazoa, Chordata, Actinopteri, Esociformes, Esocidae. The transcript is spliced from 3 exons. The record is from RefSeq and is a predicted model, not a curated record.
GACUCCCAGAGGUUUUAUAGGAAUGGCUGCGGGAGGAUGUCUUCAGGGCGAACUCUCAUUCUUCUUCUCCUUGGUGCAUUUGCAACUUUGGACCCUUCCAGCUCUUUCCUCUAGACCAGUUCACCUGGAAUGUGUUGAGCAGUGUUCCUAAGGAUGUUCUGUGUUCAUGGCUGAUCUGUCAGAUGACUGGAGGAGCUCAGGUGUCCGGAGUGGAUCCCUCCCAGAACCAGCCCAACACAACCACUGCCACCACCCAGUCAAACUACUGCUAUGGACGAGAUCAUCAUGAUUUCAUGGACUGGACAGAGAUAUCCCAGAUGGAUUCUAACAACAACGGUCUAUGGCAGAAUUAAGUCCCCUGUCAUCAGGAUGAGCAGCCUAUGGGUAUUGAUGUUGUGGACAACAGUCAGUCAGUAUAUACUAGCAAGACAACUGCCUGGCCUAGCUAAUCCUGAGCUACUUCUGAGACUCAUGUCCGGUCUAGACAAUCAGCAGCCAUUACAAUGACAAAAGUCUGUCUCCACCCAACUUCGCCCAUUCUCCCAGCAGAAUGAAGCCAAAUGUUAGCCCUCCAGCCAGACAGCAAUGUCCAGCAGGUACAUGGCAGCCACAAACUAAGAGCAGUGUUGGUAACGUGAGGAAAAGACAUUACCAGCAUUAAAUCUCAAAAAGACGGAGGAUGUAGAUGUCUUUCCUCAAAAUGUAGGGACAAUGUGAAAAUACUUAGUCCCUCAAAGACAUUGGUGUGUAGAUUACAGCAUAAGGAGCUAUGGAAGAAACAUUACUUUUUCAAAUAGAUGAAUGAACAUAUAGGCAUGUCUGUUUGACUGGAAACUGAGUUUCCUUAUUAAUAAUGUUUACACCACUGUAAUCAUUGACAAAUUAGAAUUUGUUAAGAAUAGUUUAUAUUUCAUAGCGUAUUGUUCAUAUAAACCACUUGCUACAUAAAUGUCCUGUGUCAACAUGAACAAAUGGUAAUACACAGUUAAAGCUUUUGUAAAUUGUUAAUAAGACCAGGGUUAUUAUUAUUAAAUCAUUAAUGUUUUGUUUGUUUUCCUAGUUUUUUCAUGGUAACUGUUGUAUUCAUAAAUGCAAGUUCAUGUACCCUUAUUGGA